RNAcentral lists this ribosomal RNA (492 nucleotides) under uncultured bacterium. RNAcentral's name for it is "partial 16S ribosomal RNA". It matches the Rfam family "Bacterial small subunit ribosomal RNA", at positions 29 to 507 of the family's 1533-position model. The record is from RNAcentral.
AGUGAACGCUGGCGGUAGGCCUAACACAUGCAAGUCGAACGGCAGCACAGUAAGAGCUUGCUCUUACGGGUGGCGAGUGGCGGACGGGUGAGGAAUACAUCGGAAUCUACUUUUUCGUGGGGGAUAACGUAGGGAAACUUACGCUAAUACCGCAUACGACCUACGGGUGAAAGCAGGGGAUCUUCGGACCUUGCGCGAUUGAAUGAGCCGAUGUCGGAUUAGCUAGUUGGCGGGGUAAAGGCCCACCAAGGCGACGAUCCGUAGCUGGUCUGAGAGGAUGAUCGGCCACCCUGGAACUGAGACACGGUCCAGGCUCCUACGGGGGGCAGCAGUGGGGAAUAUUGGACAAUGGGCGCAAGCCUGAUCCAGCCAUACCGCGUGGGUGAAGAAGGCCUUCGGGUUGUAAAGCCCUUUUGUUGGGAAAGAAAAGCAGCAGGUUAAUACCCCGCUGUUCUGACGGUACCCAAAGAAUAAGCACCGGCUAACUUCGUG